Molecule: long non-coding RNA, 330 nt
Organism: Cucurbita pepo subsp. pepo (vegetable marrow)
Lineage: Eukaryota; Viridiplantae; Streptophyta; Magnoliopsida; Cucurbitales; Cucurbitaceae
Source: RefSeq, a predicted model, not a curated record
AGUCGGUGGCUGUUAGAAUGACGGUCGGACUUCCUUCCAAGCACCACAAGAUGUGGUCAACACAUCUAAGCUCAAAGCAUGCUCCACAGUAGCAGAUUUCCACUCUUCAUCCUUAGCCGCAAAGAUGUUGGGUGUUGGCAAAAGAACCAUGUAGACUAUCAUAGCUAUAAAUGCAGCCAUUUCAUUCAGAAGAGUACAAGGCCUUGAAGAAGAAGAAUCCUGAGAGGGCUCAAAAUGAGCUAUUCGUUCACAUUAGUGGCGCGUUUAACGAGGCAGAGGAAAAGACACGCACAUUGUUCAUCAGCCUCCUCCUGUUCUUUAUCUUCCUGU